RNAcentral lists this ribosomal RNA (450 nucleotides) under uncultured bacterium. RNAcentral describes it as "partial 16S ribosomal RNA". It matches the Rfam family "Bacterial small subunit ribosomal RNA", at positions 354 to 796 of the family's 1533-position model. The record is from RNAcentral.
GUGGGGAAUUUUGGACAAUGGGCGCAAGCCUGAUCCAGCAAUGCCGCGUGCAGGAAGAAGGCCUUCGGGUUGUAAACUGCUUUUGUACGGAACGAAACGGUCCGGGUUAAUACCCUGGGCUAAUGACGGUACCGUAAGAAUAAGCACCGGCUAACUACGUGCCAGCAGCCGCGGUAAUACGUAGGGUGCAAGCGUUAAUCGGAAUUACUGGGCGUAAAGCGUGCGCAGGCGGUUUUGUAAGACAGGCGUGAAAUCCCCGGGCUCAACCUGGGAACUGCCUUUGUGACUGCAAGGCUAGAGUACGGCAGAGGGGGAUGGAAUUCCGCGUGUAGCAGUGAAAUGCGUAGAUAUGCGGAGGAACACCGAUGGCGAAGGCAAUCCCCUGGGCCUGUACUGACGCUCAUGCACGAAAGCGUGGGGAGCAAACAGGAUUAGAUACCCGAGUAGUCC